This 254-nucleotide ribosomal RNA is filed under the name uncultured bacterium. RNAcentral describes it as "partial 16S ribosomal RNA". It matches the Rfam family "Bacterial small subunit ribosomal RNA", at positions 524 to 776 of the family's 1533-position model. The record is from RNAcentral.
UACGUAGGAGGCAAGCGUUGUCCGGAGUUACUGGGCGUAAAGAGCGCGUAGGCGGCGCGGUACGACCGCUGUGAAAGCCCCCAGCUCAACUGGGGAGGGUCAGCGGUAACGGCCGUGCUAUGAGUGCAGGAGAGGGAAGUGGAACUCCGGGAGUAGCGGUGAAAUGCGUAGAGACCCGGAGGAACACCAGUGGCGAAGGCGGCUUCCUGGUCUGCGACUGACGCUGUGGCGCGAAAGCUAGGGGAGCAAACGGG